Molecule: non-coding RNA, 132 nt
Filed under: Paucilactobacillus nenjiangensis
Lineage: Bacteria; Bacillati; Bacillota; Bacilli; Lactobacillales; Lactobacillaceae
Description: FMN riboswitch (RFN element)
Rfam family: FMN riboswitch aptamer (RFN element)
About the family: The RFN element is a highly conserved domain that is found frequently in the 5'-untranslated regions of prokaryotic mRNAs that encode for flavin mononucleotide (FMN) biosynthesis and transport proteins. This element is a metabolite-dependent riboswitch that directly binds FMN in the absence of proteins. In Bacillus subtilis, the riboswitch most likely controls gene expression by causing premature transcription termination within the 5' untranslated region of the ribDEAHT operon and precluding access to the ribosome-binding site of ypaA mRNA.
Source: RNAcentral
UUCUUCGGGGCAGGGUGAAAUUCCCGACCGACGGUAACGAGGUGAAACUCGAAGUCCGUGACCCGCAUUUAUUUAUGCGGUUGAUCUAGUGCAAAUCUAGAACCGACAGUUAAAGUCUGGAUGGGAGAAGAA